Molecule: ribosomal RNA, 373 nt
Filed under: uncultured organism
Description: bacterial SSU rRNA
Rfam family: Bacterial small subunit ribosomal RNA
Source: RNAcentral
CAGAGGGUGCGAGCGUUGUUCGGAAUUAUUGGGCGUAAAGCGCGUGUAGGCGGCUUAGUAAGUUGGGUGUGAAAGCCCUCGGCUUAACCGAGGAAGUGCGCCCAAAACUGCUUGGCUUGAGUACCGGAGAGGGUGGCGGAAUUCCCGGUGUAGAGGUGAAAUUCGUAGAUAUCGGGGAGGAACACCAGCGGCGAAGGCGGCCACCUGGACGGAUACUGACGCUGAGACGCGAAAGCGUGGGGAGCAAACAGGAUUAGAUACCCUGGUAGUCCACGCUGUAAACGAUGAGCGCUAGGUGUUGCGGGUGUUGACCCCUGCAGUGCCGCAGCUAACGCAUUAAGCGCUCCGCCUGGGAAGUACGGCCGCAAGGCUA